This 155-nucleotide ribosomal RNA is filed under the name Ralstonia pickettii. RNAcentral describes it as "partial 16S ribosomal RNA". It matches the Rfam family "Bacterial small subunit ribosomal RNA", at positions 334 to 482 of the family's 1533-position model. Lineage: Bacteria; Pseudomonadati; Pseudomonadota; Betaproteobacteria; Burkholderiales; Burkholderiaceae. The record is from RNAcentral.
AACUCCUACGGGAGGCAGCAGUGGGGAAUUUUGGACAAUGGGCGAAAGCCUGAUCCAGCAAUGCCGCGUGUGUGAAGAAGGCCUUCGGGUUGUAAAGCACUUUUGUCCGGAAAGAAAUGGCUCUGGUUAAUACCUGGGGUCGAUGACGUACCGAA